Molecule: ribosomal RNA, 403 nt
Filed under: uncultured prokaryote
Also listed under: 1 other name
Description: bacterial SSU rRNA
Rfam family: Bacterial small subunit ribosomal RNA
Source: RNAcentral
UGGGGAAUAUUGCGCAAUGGGGGCAACCCUGACGCAGCAACGCCGCGUGCGGGAAGAAGGCGUCCGCGUCGUAAACCGCUUUCAGCAGGGAAGACAUCGACGGUACCUGCAGAAGAAGCCCCGGCUAACUACGUGCCAGCAGCCGCGGUAACACGUAGGGGGCGAGCGUUAUCCGGAUUCAUUGGGCGUAAAGCGCGCGCAGGCGGCCGCUCAAGCGGGACCUCUAAUCCCGGGGCUCAACCCCGGGCCGGGUCCCGAACUGGGCGGCUCGGGUGCGGUAGGGGGAGGCGGAAUUCCCGGUGUAGCGGUGGAAUGCGCAGAUAUCGGGAAGAACACCGACGGCGAAGGCAGCCUCCUGGGCCGACACCGACGCUGAGGCGCGAAAGCCGGGGGAGCGAACAGG